Molecule: ribosomal RNA, 1671 nt
Filed under: Escherichia coli
Lineage: Bacteria; Pseudomonadati; Pseudomonadota; Gammaproteobacteria; Enterobacterales; Enterobacteriaceae
Description: partial 23S ribosomal RNA
Rfam family: Bacterial large subunit ribosomal RNA
Source: RNAcentral
GAGGCAUGCUGGAGGUAUCAGAAGUGCGAAUGCUGACAUAAGUAACGAUAAAGCGGGUGAAAAGCCCGCUCGCCGGAAGACCAAGGGUUCCUGUCCAACGUUAAUCGGGGCAGGGUGAGUCGACCCCUAAGGCGAGGCCGAAAGGCGUAGUCGAUGGGAAACAGGUUAAUAUUCCUGUACUUGGUGUUACUGCGAAGGGGGGACGGAGAAGGCUAUGUUGGCCGGGCGACGGUUGUCCCGGUUUAAGCGUGUAGGCUGGUUUUCCAGGCAAAUCCGGAAAAUCAAGGCUGAGGCGUGAUGACGAGGCACUACGGUGCUGAAGCAACAAAUGCCCUGCUUCCAGGAAAAGCCUCUAAGCAUCAGGUAACAUCAAAUCGUACCCCAAACCGACACAGGUGGUCAGGUAGAGAAUACCAAGGCGCUUGAGAGAACUCGGGUGAAGGAACUAGGCAAAAUGGUGCCGUAACUUCGGGAGAAGGCACGCUGAUAUGUAGGUGAAGUCCCUCGCGGAUGGAGCUGAAAUCAGUCGAAGAUACCAGCUGGCUGCAACUGUUUAUUAAAAACACAGCACUGUGCAAACACGAAAGUGGACGUAUACGGUGUGACGCCUGCCCGGUGCCGGAAGGUUAAUUGAUGGGGUCAGCGCAAGCGAAGCUCUUGAUCGAAGCCCCGGUAAACGGCGGCCGUAACUAUAACGGUCCUAAGGUAGCGAAAUUCCUUGUCGGGUAAGUUCCGACCUGCACGAAUGGCGUAAUGAUGGCCAGGCUGUCUCCACCCGAGACUCAGUGAAAUUGAACUCGCUGUGAAGAUGCAGUGUACCCGCGGCAAGACGGAAAGACCCCGUGAACCUUUACUAUAGCUUGACACUGAACAUUGAGCCUUGAUGUGUAGGAUAGGUGGGAGGCUUUGAAGUGUGGACGCCAGUCUGCAUGGAGCCGACCUUGAAAUACCACCCUUUAAUGUUUGAUGUUCUAACGUGGACCCGUGAUCCGGGUUGCGGACAGUGUCUGGUGGGUAGUUUGACUGGGGCGGUCUCCUCCUAAAGAGUAACGGAGGAGCACGAAGGUUGGCUAAUCCUGGUCGGACAUCAGGAGGUUAGUGCAAUGGCAUAAGCCAGCUUGACUGCGAGCGUGACGGCGCGAGCAGGUGCGAAAGCAGGUCAUAGUGAUCCGGUGGUUCUGAAUGGAAGGGCCAUCGCUCAACGGAUAAAAGGUACUCCGGGGAUAACAGGCUGAUACCGCCCAAGAGUUCAUAUCGACGGCGGUGUUUGGCACCUCGAUGUCGGCUCAUCACAUCCUGGGGCUGAAGUAGGUCCCAAGGGUAUGGCUGUUCGCCAUUUAAAGUGGUACGCGAGCUGGGUUUAGAACGUCGUGAGACAGUUCGGUCCCUAUCUGCCGUGGGCGCUGGAGAACUGAGGGGGGCUGCUCCUAGUACGAGAGGACCGGAGUGGACGCAUCACUGGUGUUCGGGUUGUCAUGCCAAUGGCACUGCCCGGUAGCUAAAUGCGGAAGAGAUAAGUGCUGAAAGCAUCUAAGCACGAAACUUGCCCCGAGAUGAGUUCUCCCUGACUCCUUGAGAGUCCUGAAGGAACGUUGAAGACGACGACGUUGAUAGGCCGGGUGUGUAAGCGCAGCGAUGCGUUGAGCUAACCGGUACUAAUGAACCGUGAGG